AGAAUUUUUGUCUACUUGAGUCAGAAAUACUGUUUCUAGAAUACUAGAAAUCAGAUGAAAAUAAAUCUUUUUUAAAAAAAAGUAGUUACAUUCUGGAUUGCUUUGUGGAUAUCUUUAAGAAACUAGCAUCCCAUCCCCCCUGGAAAAAAAAAAACCAUUAAGUGAAGUAGGUCUCAAAUUCGAGAUCUGCUUUGGUUCUUUGUCCAGUGAGAAGAUAAAGCUGUUUGAUAAACCUGUUUUGUGCGAGAGAUUGUUUUACAGGGUUUAGGGUGAAUUUUGUAAAUGAAUCUUCAGUAGAAGAUUGCAGAGUUGCAUAUUGCAUGAUGUCACUAAAUCUGUAUUAAGUUUAGAAGAACAUCUUGCUGCUGUUGGAUGCAUCUCCUUCUCAUGUUUGAGCUGACAUUAGAAAACUCAAGGGACCUGUAACUUCAGUUACUAAAGACAUGCUGAUAGUGCUCUUACCUCGUGAUGCAAACUGUACAAGAGAUUGCACACUAACGUUAACAGUUCCAUUCUCUUAUCUCUUUGGAAAGUUUAUGGAAUGUAGGUUGUUUUCAAUUUUCUCUAUAUUUAGAAAAUUAUUCAUCACAUGAGCGAUCUUUCCAACUGUUUUUGGAGCUGAUCUUGUUUGAACUAAAACUGGUUUCCUGUGCUCACCACAUGCUAAAAGAUCUAGUUGUUUAAUACAGCAAAACACUAUUACUGAGAGCGUAUUUUUUUGUGAAAGGGAUUGGAUAGACAAAUAUUUUGCAGCCCUCUCUAAUGCUAGGUAAUUCCUACUGAUGUUAACUUUUCUACAGGGGCAUAAGAAUGUUAUAAUCUUAAUUCAGGGAAAAUGGAGAUGGGAAGGUGGCAGCUAAAGGGUUAUAUAACUAUCUACUAAAUAAUAUAAACCCAGAGACUUUAUCACUCAGGUAUAACACUGUUAAUUCACGUUAAUUUUGUCCUAUUAUAUUUUUGAUCAGCCUUUACCAAGAAUAGAUGGCUUAAUUUUAGAAACAUACUUCCUGCAUGUGAAAGUGCUCUGAAGGAGCGUGGGGGCAAGGGAUACUUCUGUUUCUCAAUCAGCUGGCCAAGCCCAUUUUUUUUGCGUCAUAAUCUGCUUUACAUUGUAAUGAGUAAGCAAGUCCUGUAGCAUUGCCUUCAGGCUGUCUAUUUUGUCUGUAUUUUCUCUUUGAGUAGUUUCUUAAAGACAGAUUUGAAAAGUAGCCCAAGUUCAGCAGAGUAAUCCAAAGAAUCCCUGAAUAGUCAUUUAGGUGUUUGAAAGCCUGCAGCCAGUUAAAUGUUCCCUAGUAGAGAUACUUAAGUGCCUGAAAUUUUGCUACUGCAUGUGGUCCCAAAUAUGACCAUCUUGUGGCUUAAAUUACAAUUAGUCUCUCUUGGGCUUCACAGGGUGUCUGUCCUUUCACCUAAACCCCUUGAGGGGCCUGAUAAGGAAGGGCAGUCAAGGCAUAUUCGUCUAUCGCAACAUCUUGGAGUUCAGCAUGUAGCAGCUCAGUCAUGGCUGCUUUCAUGCAAGAACAUGAUUACCAGAGGAAAAAGGGAUGAGUAUGGUGCUCACCUUUUAUGUCCUAGCCUGUUGGUUGGUGCACCUCCAAGCUGAGCAUUAAAAAAGAGAGACCGAACUAGUCAUCUGUACUGAUGAUUUAAGAGCUUAUGUUCAGAAAGUGACUUAAGUUUGCAGUGUUCGGCUUCACAUAGAUGCCUCCAGGACUUUAGGUACCAAAGUUCAGGGACCAGCAGCAGUAAAGGUGGACCUCUUUCUUUAGUUCCUACUGUGUAAUUUUAGGCUGUCUUUCUGCACUUGCGAAUGUGGUUCUCCGACAAGUUCAGGAAGCCUUUGAAGUUGUGAUCUAAGAGAGUUUUUCUCAUGCCAUCCGUAAACCAGCAUGGUUGUAAACAUGGUCUUGCUAGUUUGAAAUUAAUUUUCUAGAAUUUUUUUUUUAUAUUUUUCUUUAAUGUGACUCAGCUAGAAUGUAUUUCUAGACAAGUAGGUGGAAUGCCUACAGAAAAUGUGAAGUGGUAAUGAAGCAAGGAUAGUAUAACAUGGUUAAAAUAAUACAGUGGUUUUUGUUUGACUUUAAGGGUUGAUCCACAAUCCUGGUAUUUCUGUAAUGAAAUUUAUUAUGCGUAAUAAUUUUGUGAGGACUGUUCUGUGCCAGUGAUGAUGACAUUGUUGGCAGAAACCAUUGGAACUGUGUAAAUAAUUUUUUUGCUUUCAAAACUACCUUUUUUAUUUUUAUUUUUAAACUGAACCGUGAACAUUUGUCCCUUGCCUGAAAGUUUGAUCUGUGUUUCUCUUAACAUUAUUUUAAGAGAUCUGAGUUUUUAGAAGUGGGGAAAACAUUUAAGUAUUAAAGAUAGAUUUUGUGCAAAUGUAGAGCAAAAUGUGUCAACUUCUCUGUUUAAAAAAAGUGAUGAAUUGUUUUAAAAGAAAAAAAUCACAACAUUGAAAUGCAACAGCUGCAUACUGGUCAGGAGGAAAACUAGUUUUUUUCUUUAGUGACUCCUUGUAUUUUGGCUUGAUGCAUGGGCGGGUGAAAGGUUUAUAUGAAUAAAGGAUAAAUAAUAAGUAAUUGCUGAAUUCUCAUUUUGGUUGAUAGUUUCCUCGCUGAUCUAGAAGUGCUGAUUGGCAGCUUGCGUUGAAUCCGAGCGAGGCUGCUCUCCUGCACAGGGUACCCAUCAGCUUUGGGGCAGUUGUCCUCCACUUGAGGGUGGAUAAUGAGCAGCUGUUGGUAUAGAGUUGCCACAGCUGUUUCUGAAGAGACUGUGUGGUUGUGUUCUAGCUCAUGGUUUUCUUUCUUGUUUCAUGUAUUUUCUCAGUUUUUUUAUUCCUGUGCAAUAAAAUGCCCAUUUUCCUAAAUGUCAUUCUUCACUAAAAGACAGGGAAAGCUGAGGGAAUAAUAAGAAAAAAAUGUGUGCUUUCCCAGAUGACAAAGAAUGACCCGUAGUAAUAGCAGAGAGUCUCUGCUUCGGUGUGAGGUGUGGUGGUAAGCUGGAAAGCAUUGAAAGCAGUGUGGGAACUGAGAUCAAAAGGCUGCUGGGUGGGUAAGUGUGAAGAGGAGGACUGAGUCAACUGAGGAGAAAAGUGCACAUCCUUAGUCUUGGUUGGUAAUAGUGUUGGGUUAACAAACAUCACUUUACCCUACUCAGUGUUUUAUCAAAAUAAAAUAAAUCGUUUCAAAAAUGGAUUGAAAUAACAGUUUUUUUUUUUAAAUCAAACAACAGGAUUUUGUUCUGCUCAAGGAAAGGAAGCCUUUUCAUCUUUACAAUUGUGUGGCACUGAAUGACUGUCAGACUAAAUGUAUGGGCACUGUGGUUUGUCUGGUGCAAGUACCACACUUAUUCUUGAAAAAUCACCAGGAGAAUAAUUGAGUGCCUAUUCCAGUUUUUCCAGCUGCUGGGUUUUCAGAGUAAUAAGCACAGCUAGCUUUCAGAAAACAAAUGCUGCAGGUAGAUCUGCUUGUGCUUUAGAAAUCAAUUAGAAUCAUGCUUGAUGAGAAAAGUUGCUGCUUUUUGUUCAAAGCCUGCAUCCAAAUAGUCUGAAAAAUGAAAAAAGUUGUUUGGUUUGGAUUUCUCCACAGACAGAGCAAAGGUAUGCUCACAAAAUCUCUACCUUGUUUCCUGGAGCCUUUCCCAUAUUUUUGGUGUGUUUUGGUUUUUGUGAUUUUUGGGGGAAGGAGAGCUUUUGGAGAAGGGCAUUUUGGGUGCGUGUGUGUGUGUUUUGCUUUUGGUGUAACAGAUCAUCAAGAAUCUAUUGAUAUUACUGAGAAAACAAUUGCAAUACUGAGGCCAAAGGACUUCAUCCAAAUUCAGUGUGUUAUAGCCACCAACCAGGCUGUGAGAUGAGAAGAGCUAUUUGGACUUUCUGGUGAUUAUUGGUAGAAUUUUGGGGAAACAAAUUCCUGCUUAUACUUAUUUGCAUGAUAUGUGUCCAGAAUUACCAGUAAGUGAACAGAUAGACUGUGAUCAGCUUAUAGAAUGCAUUAUUAAUGUUCUCCUAAAAUAAAACUGUAUAUUUUAGGAAUAAGCUCUUAUUUGCCAAUAAUUAAAUGAAGAAAAGUAUUAUUAAAUAUUUUGAUGCAGCAGUUCAUAAAAAGUAGUAAAUGAGCAGUGGUGUUCUGUUCAUGUCGAAUAAAUACCUUAAUAUACUCUUGGAGUAGCUACACUUUGUAGUCAGUUACAGUGCAGCAUAACAAAUUGGAACAGCUAAUUUAAACAUUAUUAUACAUAUUAAAUAUCAUACCCAUAAUCUUCUUGUCAUUAGUUGCAUUUCUAUAUCACUUACCUAACAUCAAACAGCUACUACUGUGUUUAAUAUAUCCAUUCUGUUGUUCAUGGACUUGAAUUUCUUUUUCUUUCUCUCAUGCUAAAAUGUAUCUGAUUUUUAUGACUCGCAUCACUCUGGUACCACAUGAUCAUGAGGGUUAGUUACAGUGAGAAAAUGCCACACACCAGUAAUGCACUUUUAGCAUACUUAAUAUUCUUGGUAGUUGAACACUUAAGAAUUCUUAAUGAAGAAUUCUGAACUUGGUCACACUUUUUGUUGAUGGAUAUUUUGUAGCUUGAAGUGUAAAAACAAAAAACAGACUAACAAGCAGUAUUCAGUAUAGAUAUGUGUAUUCAGUGAUCUCCAUUUUCGUAAAUGAUUUUGUCAGGAUUAGCAUUUUUCUGCUCUGAAGUUGUGUGGUUUUAGAUUUAGUGUUGUAUUAAAAUGUCUGUUAAUGUAGUACAAUAUUUCUUUUUUCCAAGAGAAGAGGUUAUUCUUUUAAACUCUUUUAAAUUAUAUUUGAUUUUUAGGAUGCUUUUUUUUACUCCUGAGAUGAAAAAUCUGGAUUUUUCAGAACAGUACUUCUGUAGCUAUUUCCCAAAAUACAUUUUUGGUCUGAUAAUAGAUGUAGAAAAUCAUAGUCCAAGUUGUUUAGAUAACUUAGGAUUCUUAAUUUAUUCCAGCAUUAGAAUAUGGUAUCUCAUAGAUACCAAACUAUGAAGAUUAAUGCAGAUGCUUACUCCACUCAGAAGAACCUAUACUCUGAUUUCACUUGUUUUAAAUUUUUUUCUCAAGUGAUAUCUGUGUUCUUUGGAAGGAUCUUUGCUCCUCUUUAGACUCAGUAGUGUCUGCUUUUGAUAUUACAGUCUUAAUAAGGAAAAAAAAGUUCUUGUAACUGAAAUUUUACACCAGCCUGUCUUCUAAUAGUUUCUAAUUUUGAU
Dromaius novaehollandiae (emu) is the source of this 5211-nucleotide long non-coding RNA. RefSeq lists it as uncharacterized. The transcript is spliced from 2 exons. Lineage: Eukaryota; Metazoa; Chordata; Aves; Casuariiformes; Dromaiidae. The record is from RefSeq and is a predicted model, not a curated record.